UCCCAGCUUCUAGCAAUUCCCAAUGUUGCUGGGCUCCAGGUGUGUGGCUCCAUGGCUCGUGGCUGCGGUGGCCGCUGCAGCAGCGCCGCGUGCCCGUGCACUUGCAUUGGCCUCAUCCUGCCCAGAUCCCAGCCCGUUAAGCCCUCUCAGCCCUGCUUUGUGGUGCUGGGACCAUAAAUACCUCUCUUCUGUAUUAACAAUUUGCUUGAUCUGCAGAGAAGACAAUAUUCUGUGCAGUACAUACUUUCCCGAUGACUCAUUCUGCCCCAAAAUUAACCUUCUAAAUACUAUGGUUUUUUUUUUUUUUAAAGUUUCUUCACAAAAUAUAAUAUCACAGCUAAAGCUUUCAUGAAGUAUUUUCCAGUUACUUAGUGGCCAAGCCCUCUGACUACUAUGUAUUUCAGCCCAGAAAACCUUUGAUAAUCUUUGCCUGUAUCCAGUGUUGGUGGUCUUAAAAUUCUACAACCCAGUGGAAAACUGUUAAAUGCUCAGGCUUCAGAGCAUGCCUAAUUAAUUCUUUGCAGGGUUUUAGUCCUUUAAAAAGUGUUAAAAACACGGAUUCAGUGUAUCAUUGAAUAUUGCAUGGUUCUGUGGAAAUAAAUUGCAUCAGUUUGAUUCCUUUAGCAGUUCAGAGAGUUAUUGCUCUGUGCUUACUCUGGAAGUUUACAGUCGUCUUUUGAAAGUUAAGGUUAAAAUAGGCAAAAGUUGCUAAUGAUGGGGAGUUGCUCAAUGGCAAAGUGAGAGCCCAAAAACUACAUCAGAAAAGUCUGGGCACGUAGAUCAAGCAGCCACAUUUACAGCUCAGGCUAUAAAUCUCCCUUACACUUGCAACUCCAAAAAGCAUUUGUGUUUAGCACGUGGACUGUUUUUAUUUUGAACAUGCUUCUGUUUAUUUUAUUUCAUGACUGCUUAAGGAGAUUAUAAUGGCUUUAUACUGGAAAGUACUGGCAACACUUAAGAAGCAGGUGAGGCAAAUUGAGCUUUUUUCUCUCCCAACAUCAAGUGCUGGGGGUACUCAACCUUGUAAGAAACUUUAAGUAUCUUUCAACAUCGAGGCUUAUGUGCUUCUUUCAAGAGACAUGGAGAUGGUAGAGAUGAAAAAGGAGCAUGUGAUGAACAAGUGAUUAUAAUUUUAAUGCAGAAUGAAAGGGGCAUAUGUCAAUAUGGAUAUCCAUUCCUCUCCUUUCCCACACAGUUCAUACUCGGGGGGUUCAUCUGGAGAUGUUGGUGGCAUUUCCAAGGCAAAGUUGGUAGCAUUUGUUGUGGUCUGGGUGUCUUUGCUGUCCUUGGUUUCUUCUUGUUCUGAGGUUUGUGGAAGCAAGAGCAAAGACAGAGAGCCAUGAGAGGUAUUUACCCCAUCUACCUAAGGGAACGCUACGUGGAGCAUCUUUCAAAGCAUGACAGACCCUCAGGAUCCUAGUGCUGACUGUGGUGGCACCCUCAUUUGCCUUCUCUGGAUAAGAGGAACCUUAAGGCAGCUUCCUGCUGGCACCAGAAGAGCUCUCCCAUCAGAUGCGCAUCCACUGCUCCCUGUCUGAGGGCCACACAGUGAUGUUUCCACCUGCCGAGAGCGGUGUUCAGCCCUGCCAUGAGGACUUUCAUCCCAUGAUACAAGCAUCAGAAGCAUCCUUUCCUCUUAGUGAUCAACGACAAUGCAAACCUAACCUUUGAGACAACCCGCACGCCAUGUCCUGCAGCUCCCAGUUGCCUUGCUUGCCCACCACCUUCCCCACCAUGCCAGAUGCAUCAACAUCUUCUGCCAUCCUUGCCCUCUUGCCCCUUGGCAGCCCUGCUCUUGCUCUGACUCAUGGGGCUAUGGGGACUGUGGCUGAGU
Long non-coding RNA from Calidris pugnax (ruff), 1834 nucleotides. RefSeq lists it as uncharacterized. Lineage: Eukaryota; Metazoa; Chordata; Aves; Charadriiformes; Scolopacidae. The record is from RefSeq and is a predicted model, not a curated record. The transcript has 3 exons.